RNAcentral lists this transfer RNA (72 nucleotides) under Ictidomys tridecemlineatus (thirteen-lined ground squirrel). RNAcentral describes it as "Spermophilus tridecemlineatus (thirteen-lined ground squirrel) tRNA". It matches the Rfam family "tRNA". From Rfam's summary of the family: Transfer RNA (tRNA) molecules are approximately 80 nucleotides in length. Their secondary structure includes four short double-helical elements and three loops (D, anti-codon, and T loops). Lineage: Eukaryota; Metazoa; Chordata; Mammalia; Rodentia; Sciuridae. The record is from Rfam by way of RNAcentral.
AGAGUUGUAGCUCAGCGGUAGAGUGCUUGUCUCUUACAUGUGAGACACUGGGUUCGAUUCCCAGCACCACAU